Molecule: non-coding RNA, 30 nt
Filed under: Mus musculus (house mouse)
Lineage: Eukaryota; Metazoa; Chordata; Mammalia; Rodentia; Muridae
Source: RNAcentral
UAUAAAGCCAAUGAUUACCUGUGGCUCAAC